UCCGUAGGUGAACCUGCGGAAGGAUCAUUAUUGAAUCCUCAAGGAUGUUGCUGGCCUCUCAGGAGGCAUGUGCACUCCGCCUUUCAAUUCACCUGUGAACUUAUUGUAGGCCCGAGUGGUCUAUGUUUUAAACACACCCAAAAGUCUAAUAGAAUGUCUAAUAGUAGGCCUUAUGGUCAAAACUUUAAUACAACUUUCAACAAUGGAUCUCUUGGUUCUCGCAUCGAUGAAGAACGCAGCGAAUUGCGAUAUGUAAUGUGAAUUGCAGAAUUCAGUGAAUCAUCGAAUCUUUGAACGCACCUUGCACCCUUUGGUAUUCCGAAGGGUAUGCCUGUUUGAGUGUCAUUAAAUUCUCAACUUCAAAAUUAUUUUUGAAGCUUGGACUUUGGAGGCUUUGCCGGCGUCAUUGUCAGCUCCUCUUGAAUGCAUUAGCGGAACUUUUUUAAAGGCUAGGCUUUGGUUUGAUAAUAAUAUCUAUGCCGUCGCUGUGACUUUGUGUGUUCAGCUUAUAAUUGUCUUUGGACUGUCUCUUUCGAGGCAUGAAUACAAAAGGUUGACCUCAAAUCAGGUAGGACUACCCGCUGAACUUAAGCAUAUCAAUAAGCGGAGG
Molecule: ribosomal RNA, 610 nt
Filed under: uncultured fungus
Lineage: Eukaryota; Fungi
Description: eukaryotic LSU rRNA
Rfam family: 5.8S ribosomal RNA (bases 192-345)
Source: RNAcentral